UUUUUUAAUAUCAUAUCAUAAUAAAUAUUAGUUUUAUAACAAAAAAACCCUUUAAAAAUCUCUUUACUUAAUUUUACAUGAUAUUAAAUAAAACUGACGUAGCAUCCAUUACGAGAACAAAAGCAAAGAUAAAAUGAUUGCCGACUCAGAUACACGGUUUCGACUGGAGUUGAAAACUGAGUUGAAAACUUCUCUUUGAGAUAUUUUUGGUGUCGGAAGUAAUAAAGAUACUUGAACGUCUCGUCCUAAGUUUGGAACCGUCUUUUAUUAUUAUCGACAAGAAUUGGGUUAUCAGAUAAGUUUGCCAACGGUCAAGAUUGGAGUAGAGACGGUCCACGGUCCCAAAACUUUAUUCUGCGUUUGAGACUGCUCAACUUACUGGAGCAGUUAAUUUUAGUUGUGGACUACUUAAAAACGUUUUCAGUUUUAUAGCGAUUACGAAUAUUCUUUAUUAAAUUGUGAAAUCUUAAUAUAUAUGAACUAGCGACCUGCCCCGCACAGGUGCAAUGCUGAUACUAAAUAUAAAAUAUAAAAUAAAUAUUUUCAAUGUUAACGCCAAAAAAAAUGUGUUUAUUUACGACAUUACAUUAGAAACGCCUAAAACUAUCAGUGUUUCUCUGCUAUAUAAACCUUCCUCUGGAAUCA
RNAcentral lists this unclassified non-coding RNA (645 nucleotides) under Melitaea cinxia (Glanville fritillary). RNAcentral describes it as "misc RNA ENSMCXG00005012477.1". Lineage: Eukaryota; Metazoa; Arthropoda; Insecta; Lepidoptera; Nymphalidae. The record is from RNAcentral.